GAAUACAUCGGAAUCUACCUUUUCGUGGGGGAUAACGUAGGGAAACUUACGCUAAUACCGCAUACGACCUUAGGGUGAAAGCGGAGGACCUUCGGGCUUCGCGCGGAUAGAUGAGCCGAUGUCGGAUUAGCUAGUUGGCGGGGUAAAGGCCCACCAAGGCGACGAUCCGUAGCUGGUCUGAGAGGAUGAUCAGCCACACUGGAACUGAGACACGGUCCAGACUCCUACGGGAGGCAGCAGUGGGGAAUAUUGGACAAUGGGCGCAAGCCUGAUCCAGCCAUGCCGCGUGGGUGAAGAAGGCCUUCGGGUUGUAAAGCCCUUUUGUUGGGAAAGAAAAGCAGCCGGUUAAUACCCGGUUGUUCUGACGGUACCCAAAGAAUAAGCACCGGCUAACUUCGUGCCAGCAGCCGCGGUAAUACGAAGGGUGCAAGCGUUACUCGGAAUUACUGGGCGUAAAGCGUGCGUAGGUGGUUGUUUAAGUCCGUUGUGAAAGCCCUGGGCUCAACCUGGGAAUUGCAGUGGAUACUGGGCAACUAGAGUGUGGUAGAGGAUGGCGGAAUUCCCGGUGUAGCAGUGAAAUGCGUAGAGAUCGGGAGGAACAUCUGUGGCGAAGGCGGCCAUCUGGACCAACACUG
This 635-nucleotide ribosomal RNA is filed under the name Xanthomonas sp. RNAcentral describes it as "bacterial SSU rRNA". It matches the Rfam family "Bacterial small subunit ribosomal RNA", at positions 111 to 742 of the family's 1533-position model. The record is from RNAcentral. Lineage: Bacteria; Pseudomonadati; Pseudomonadota; Gammaproteobacteria; Lysobacterales; Lysobacteraceae.